Molecule: transfer RNA, 66 nt
Filed under: Helorus sp. ZJUH_2016017
Lineage: Eukaryota; Metazoa; Arthropoda; Insecta; Hymenoptera; Heloridae
Description: tRNA-Gly
Source: RNAcentral
CUUUAAAUAGUAUAAAAUGUACAUUUAAUUUCCAAUUAAAAAGAUUUAAUAAACUAAAUUUAAAGA